Molecule: ribosomal RNA, 463 nt
Filed under: uncultured bacterium
Lineage: Bacteria
Description: bacterial SSU rRNA
Rfam family: Bacterial small subunit ribosomal RNA
Source: RNAcentral
GACGAACGCUGGCGGCGUGCUUAACACAUGCAAGUCGAGCGGGGAGAUCGCUUUCGGGCGAUCUUCUAGCGGCGGACGGGUGAGUAACGCGUGAGCAACCUUUCCUUCACUGGGGAAUAACACCGGGAAACUGGUACUAAUACCGCAUGAGACCACAGCAUCGCAUGGUGCAGGGGUCAAAGAUUUAUUGGUGAAGGGUGGGCUCGCGUCUGAUUAGGUAGUUGGUGAGGUAACGGCCCACCAAGCCGACGAUCAGUAGCCGGACCUGAGAGGGUGAACGGCCACAUUGGGACUGAGACACGGCCCAAACUCCUACGGGAGGCAGCAGUGGGGAAUAUUGGACAAUGGGGGAAACCCUGAUCCAGCGACGCCGCGUGAGUGAAGAAGUAUUUCGGUAUGUAAAGCUCUAUCAGCAGGGAAGAUAAUGACGGUACCUGUGGAGGAAGCCACGGCUAACUACGUG